CACGUGAGAAUCAAGUCCGAGAAGAACCAAAAGCGGUAUUGUCGUGAGGCCACCUCUUUUCCACUCUUCUAGAGAUACCGUACCGUCGGCGUCGUAAUCUAUUUCUAUCAUCAUGUCUUGGAGGAUCUGUCGGUUGAUUCCGUAACGUCCCAUCCAAGAUACUCAGCGACGUUCAUCAUUUGGUUGACGAUACAGUCCAUCUCCUGUGACAUAAAGAAUACGGAUGACAAAAUGCAUUCGCUACGAUAAACAAACGAUAAUCCUAUCUAUGUACAAGCAUAUAUUCCGCAAGUAUAGACCAUCUGAGGAAGCCAUGUGGAGUAAUGGCGACACCCGUCGGAAACAUGUGUGUCUGGCUUACGGCAGAUCAUUAAACGCGUCCAAAAUUACUACUGCUUUCGCAAUAACGACUUGGAGCUUUCAGACGUGAGUCAGUAUAAUAUAGUGAGGGGAGCUGGGGUCCUGGAAGAGGAAGAGGAGGACAGUCGAUGGAGUACGUAGAAGAAAAAAUGGCAAUCCACAAAGAACACAAGAUUCAUCCCAUAAUUGAUUUGAUCCACGCGAAUUCACACGAGUCACGGUCUUCCAGCCUCUAGUAAGGACAAGUAACACACGAUAUCCUUAAGGCUGACCUUCACCGAAUGAACGUCUAUGGUACUCUGCUUUCUCACGAGGUGCCUCAUUUCUGUAAGGAUAAGAGGAGAUCAACUAU
This is a long non-coding RNA of Cephus cinctus (wheat stem sawfly), 712 nucleotides long. RefSeq lists it as uncharacterized. The record is from RefSeq and is a predicted model, not a curated record. Lineage: Eukaryota; Metazoa; Arthropoda; Insecta; Hymenoptera; Cephidae. The transcript has 4 exons.